This 263-nucleotide ribosomal RNA is filed under the name uncultured bacterium. RNAcentral describes it as "partial 16S ribosomal RNA". It matches the Rfam family "Bacterial small subunit ribosomal RNA", at positions 338 to 617 of the family's 1533-position model. The record is from RNAcentral.
CCUACGGGGGGCAGCAGUGGGGAAUAUUGCACAAUGGGGGAAACCCUGAUGCAGCAACGCCGCGUGAGUGAGGAAGUAUUUCGGUAUGUAAAGCUCUAUCAGCAGGGAAUAGAAAAGAAGGUACCUGAAAAAGAAGCCCCGGCUAACUACGUGCCAGCAGCCGCGGUAAUACGUAGGGGGCAAGCGUUAUCCGGAUUUACUGGGUGUAAAGGGAGCGUAGACGGAAAGGCAAGUCAAAAGUGAAAGCCCAAGUCUCAACCAUG